AUCUACUCCCCGUGUCUGCUGUGCCCACCACCACGGUGUUCAGUACUGACCAGCACAGCAGCAUCAGCAGAAUGAACCACGACAAUUAGUCAAGGUGGAUGCUGCCUGCCAGACCGUCCCCCCAGACUAUAAACUGUCCCUGGUGAUAUAUAGAACAUUAUGGACAUCAGAGAUAGAACAUUUUCAAUAUUGAUACUAUGUAGAAGCC
This is a long non-coding RNA of Alligator sinensis (Chinese alligator), 208 nucleotides long. RefSeq lists it as uncharacterized. The transcript is spliced from 3 exons. The record is from RefSeq and is a predicted model, not a curated record. Lineage: Eukaryota; Metazoa; Chordata; Crocodylia; Alligatoridae.